Long non-coding RNA from Tribolium castaneum (red flour beetle), 2514 nucleotides. RefSeq lists it as uncharacterized. The record is from RefSeq and is a predicted model, not a curated record. Lineage: Eukaryota; Metazoa; Arthropoda; Insecta; Coleoptera; Tenebrionidae. The transcript is spliced from 7 exons.
UUGAAUGUAAAGCAAUGGGUAAAACAUAUACCGUUGCCAAGUAUUAUAACUACGGUAUAAUUAAUGUUUUAUCAGUAGAAGAUUACCAGGAUCUUCAUGGUCAGCAAUGGUUAAGUAGCAUGCUAAUUGAUCAAUAUUUAAAUUUGUAUUAUAAGGUUAAUUGCUUAACCAAGGAAUGGUUCAUAGACUAUUUGAUUUUGGAGUCAAAAAAAAGUGAAUUCAUUUUUUUUAAUGAGGAACUACAAAAGUUACCAAGAAGUUUUUUCAACGAGCUACCUAGGCUGGCGGGAAAAAAAGUAAUUUUAAUUCCAAUUCUCAGAAGUUCCCAUUUUACACUGGCAGUAGUGGAUUUUGAAAAUAAAACGUUCCACUAUUUGAAUCCAAUGAAAUCCAAUACAGAUCACACAUCUCAAAUGUUUAUUCGAUUUAAAAAGUUUAUAUCAGAAUAUAAAAAAUAUUGCAGUUUUAACGCUGAUCUAGAAUGUUUUCAAUUAAAGACGGUUGAACAUGACUACCAAACUGAUACAAACAAUUGUGGUAUUUUUGUUCUCUUUUAUAUUGAGGCAAUUUUAAAUAAAAACUCAUUAAAACAAAUGCCAUGUACACCACAACAAUAUAGAAUAAACGUGAAGGAGUUUUUGUUGGAAAAUUCAGAUGACAUGCAACAUGUUUGUAUGGGAUGUGCCAAAGAAGUUGUAACUUCUGAAGAAAAUUUUCUAAAAUGUACAUUUUGUUUGAGACUAACUCAUACAUACUGUCUUUAUGCUCCUUGGACAAUUCAAAAUGUGUGUCAUUUAUGUGUAAGAAAUUAUAAUCCAAAAACAUCUCAAAGUGCUGUUGGCACUUAAAAAUUUACAACACAUACAUAAAAUUGAGAAAUUUAAAAGUAACAUAAUUUUGUUAUGUACUUAAAAAAAUCCGGUCCACAGCAGGAGGAUUCUAUAGAAAAUAUAGGAUCCGAAUGUUUAUAAAAUAUACCUACCGAACCUAGGGCUUAUUUAUAGAAACUUUUUGUUUAAAUGAAACCUUUACAUCAUGACUACACAUUUUUAGUGUAAUAUUCCCGUUUAUAUGAUCAGUACUUUAUAUUAUUAGAUAUUUUUUUCGAUAAAUAGCUCUAUUAGUAUUGUACGAGUAGGUAUCAGCACUGAAAUAUUUUCUGGGUGUUAUCAGCACUGAAAUAUUUUCUGGGUGUUAUCAGCACUGAACUACUUUUUCGGUGUUCGCUACACUGAAAAGUGUUCUGGGUGUUUUUUGGACCGGAUGAUAAAGUGCAUAAUUUUGAGAAUUAUGAAAAAACUCUAAAUUCUAAUAUUAAAAAGAUGUUUCUUUGAUCCUUGAUGUCUGUAAUGGUUUAACAUGUAACAAAGAUGGUUGUAACGAAUACAAGCAUUUAUGUUCCACUUCGGAUUAAUUCAAUCGACAGCCAGGCUCUAAAGGUUUACCACGAAAAAUGAGAAAAAACAAAAGUGGUUAUCACGAAUACAAGUAUUUAUGUUCCACUUCGGAUUAACUCAAUCGACAGCCAGGCUCUAAAGGUUUACCACGAAAAAUGAGAAAAAACAAAAGUGGUUAUCACGUAUACAAGUAUUUAUGUUCCACUUCGGAUUAACUCAAUCGACAGCCAGGCUCUAAAGGUUUACCACGAAAAAUGAGAAAAAACAAAAGUGGUUAUCACGUAUACAAGUAUUUAUGUUCCACUUCGGAUUAACUCAAUCGACAGCCAGGCUCUAAAGGUUUACCACGAAAAAUGAGAAAAAACAAAAGUGGUUAUCACGUAUACAAGUAUUUAUGUUCCACUUCGGAUUAACUCAAUCGACAGCCAGGCUCUAAAGGUUUACCACGAAAAAUGAGAAAAAACAAAAGUGGUUAUCACGAAUACAAGUAUUUAUGUUCCACUCCGAAUCAACUCAACCGAUAGUCAGUAAUUCGACAACUUCAAGUUCUCCAAGAUUCUCGAAGUUUAAUCGUCUUAAAUUUGGUGCAAAUUUUUAAAUUUGUUGUUAAAGCUAUAAUUUCGUUAUUCAGAAAUAGUAUUUAGUAGUCCUUAUCCUCUAAGAUAUAAUUAGUCUAUUGUGUUUGUAUAUCUUGUGGUAACUGAUAUCUAUUGAAAAGAAACCCGAAUUUAUUCGAACAAAUUUUUACCCGCACAUUAUAACUUUAUAUUUAAUUAUGAUUAUGUUUUUUUGAUAUUCGCUAUUCCGCUUGUAAGAUUCGAAAAAAGUUAAAUUUUCUGCAAAAAAUCUAAGCACAGUUGUUUUCUGUCCUAAGAUCUUACCUGGUCGGCAGAGACAGCCAGUCUUUUAUGUUUUAUUGAAAGGGCGCAUGAGUCUUAACACUUUUACAAAAACCGUCAUAAUUUCACAGAUAAGGUUUAUGAAGGUUGCAUAAUCUUAGAAGGUAAGGUUUACUAAUUACUACACUAUUUUUGUUUUGAAAGAAGGCGUUGUGUAAAACAUUCUGUAUUUAUGUUUAAAUUUGAAAGGAAAUGUGCAAUAUAAGUUUGUUACUUGA